CUUCCUCCUCCUCUUCCUCCUCCUCUUCCUCCUCCUCCUCCUCUUCCUCCUCCUCUUCCUCCUCUCCUUUCUUCUCCUCUGCCACCGUUCGUGACCUGAACUUUCCACAUCCCCCUUGCUGCCGCUCUUUACAAAAACCCCCAAUAUUCCACACCCACUGAGGGACUAUUCUGAAGAUAGUUGCCCAUUUUCUCUUCUCAGUAUGGGCACAAAGGAAACAGCUUUCUCCCCUGCCUGCUGUUGAAACAAAGGAGCAUUCAGUCUUAUCACCGCCAGGCUUUGGCUGAGGCUCCACACACAGUGACCCAACUGACUGCUGCUAACAAAAUAAAGGUUUCAUUUCGGCAUUCUUCCCCAUUUUGGUCUGUGUGGUGCCAAAGGAAAUAAACUUUUAUUUUUCCAGUAUCCAGACAUUCAGAUAACCAGAACUUGAAGGGGAGGAAGCUAUGGUCUGCAUUUUUUCUUUAGGAAACAAGUAAGUCAGAAGUGCUGAAAACAGGACUUUAAGCAGAAAAAGCAACAUAUGAGACCAAUGGACUAUGCAUUCAUGCCUUCUUCAAACUCACUUUCUGCGAAACCAGGCUCCUUCCCCGUGCUGGCAGAAGUUUCAACAGGACUGGUCCUAUUUGCAUUAAUAGACAAGGAAGCUCAAAGCAAGCUGAAUUAAAACUGGGCUCCUCGCUAUUGGGUUAUCCCGCAGUCAAAGGUUAGUGAUCUUCCAAAUUUUUCACCUCUCUUGACCUUAAAGAUUUCAAAUACUUCAAAAAUCCAAUUAUCUCUUAACAAAUAGUUCACAAGUGUUUAUGCAAGGUACUGAACGUGGUUCACAGGUGAGUGAGACACUGUCCCUGCCUUCAUGGAGCUUCCAUUCUAAUGGGGUGUUAGAUAAGCAUUUGGAACACCAUAAUACAAAGUAGCAUAAGAGGAAGGCUAUUGGGAUUCAAA
This is a long non-coding RNA of Pan troglodytes (chimpanzee), 945 nucleotides long. RefSeq lists it as uncharacterized. The transcript is spliced from 3 exons. The record is from RefSeq and is a predicted model, not a curated record. NCBI's taxonomy places the organism in Eukaryota, Metazoa, Chordata, Mammalia, Primates, Hominidae.